RNAcentral lists this ribosomal RNA (658 nucleotides) under Acarospora sp. EH-2022l. RNAcentral describes it as "SSU rRNA". It matches the Rfam family "Bacterial small subunit ribosomal RNA", at positions 385 to 1127 of the family's 1533-position model. Lineage: Eukaryota; Fungi; Ascomycota; Lecanoromycetes; Acarosporales; Acarosporaceae. The record is from RNAcentral.
GCUAGUUGUAUUAUUAGUUAAUGCAAGAUCGACUACGUCGACUAAAGUUCUAGGUAGAAUAAUGAUGAUGACAAUUUUUUACCUAUAUGUCUUGACCAAGUCUCGUGCCAGCAGUCGCGGUAAUACGUGGAAGACUAGUGUUAUUCAUCUUUAUUAGGUUUAAAGGGUACCUAGACGGUAUUUCUAGCCCAAAAUAGGGUACGGAUUUACUAGAGUUUUAUGUGAGGAGGGGAGUACUCGUGGAGUAGAGAUGAAAUUUUGUUAUACUAUGAGGUAACUGGUGGCGGCGAAAGCAACCUUCUAUGUAUAAACUGACGUUGAGGGACGAAGGCUUGGGUAGCAAAUAGGAUUAGAUACCCUAGUAGUCCAAGCAGACAAUUCUGAAUGCCAUAGAUUAGAUUAUUUUUGAUCUAUAAAUGAAAGUGUAAGCAUUCCACCUUAGGAGUAAUGUGGCAACACAGGAACUGAAAUCAUUAGACCGUUUCUGAAACCAGUAGUGAAGUAUGUUAUUUAAUUUGAUGGUCCACAAAAAACCUUACCACAACUUGAAUAUUUUUUAAUUAAUACAAGCGUUGCACGGCUGUCUUCAGUUAAUGUCGUGAGAUUUUGGUUAACUCCAUUAAUUAACGUAAACCCUUACUUUAUUUAUUUUUUUUAU